UAAAACCAUCUGAGAAUUUGGAGAGCAACAAAAAGUUAUCGAAUGUGCGAGAGCUGGUUAGAAUUACAGUUUGGAUCUUAUUACUGUGUGGGUCAGUUUCAUUUUCUUUUCAAGAAGAAACCCAGUUCAAAAUAGAUGGCAAAGUAAUAGAGCUGGAAGAAUCAAACUUUGAAUCAGCAAUCUCAGCCUUUGACUUGAUCUUGGUCCAUUUUUACGCUCCCUGGUGCGGCCACUGCAAGCGCCUCGCUCCUCAGGUUAGGAACCUGGAUGGUCAACAACUAUGUUAUGCAGCCAUCGGAAUGGUCGCAUUUUAACAUCAGGAGGCCUUGUUGAAUCCAUUAUCAAUCAUGGUCUGGAUUGCUUCUAGUACUACAUGAGAAAGAAGUGGAAGAGUACAGUCCAAGUAGAAAUGAUAUCAAUCCAAGUGCAAAUGAAUCUACGCAGAUCCCUGUUGACAAUGAUGGAACAGAAUCUAGUGGCAGUGAUUACUUUGAUGAAGAUGAAACCUAGUGAAGGUGACUAC
Long non-coding RNA from Pistacia vera, 523 nucleotides. RefSeq lists it as uncharacterized. The transcript has 3 exons. Lineage: Eukaryota; Viridiplantae; Streptophyta; Magnoliopsida; Sapindales; Anacardiaceae. The record is from RefSeq and is a predicted model, not a curated record.